AUUGAACGCUGGCGGCAGGCCUAACACAUGCAAGUCGAGCGAGCGGCGGACGGGUGAGCAAUGUAUGGGCACUGCCUGAUGGAGGGGGAUAACUACUGGAAACGGUAGCUAAUACCGCAUUCCAUCAGAUAACCCAUAUGGGAUUAGCUUGUAGGUAAGGUAACGGCUUACCUAGGCGACGAUCCCUAGCUGGUCUGAGAGGAUGAUCAGCCACACUGGGACUGAGACACGGCCCAGACUCCUACGGAGGCAGCAGUGGGGAAUAUUGCACAAUGGGCGCAAGCCUGAUGCAGCCAUGCCGCGUGUAUGAAGAAGGCCCUAGGGUUGUAAAGUACUUUCAGUGGGGAGGCGUUACCGACAGAAUAAGCACCGGCUAACUCCGUGCCAGCAGCCGCGGUAAUUC
RNAcentral lists this ribosomal RNA (403 nucleotides) under uncultured bacterium. RNAcentral's name for it is "partial 16S ribosomal RNA". It matches the Rfam family "Bacterial small subunit ribosomal RNA", at positions 30 to 526 of the family's 1533-position model. The record is from RNAcentral.